CUUGCUGGUUAUCUGCCCUAUCUCCUCAUUAGAAUCAAACCAGGAGUAGGGUGGGGUUGGAGGAGCAGGCCUCCCUUAGGCCUACCGCUCCCUGCCCCACGGCUACCUGCAAGCCUUUGUUCUUUGUUCCAGGUCUUCUUCCCAGCCUCCAACAUCAAAGUCCCAACUGCCUCCUAUUAUAAUAUAGUCCUGGAUGACCUCUCCAUCCCCCACUUAGUCCCUCCACCUCAAAGUUCUUUAGAAUGAGGAAGAGUGGUAAGCAUACAGACUGGGUUUGAUCCUAUCUAGAAGACUUACUAUGUAUGUGGCUCUGGUUAAGUUAUCUAACCCCUGUAGAAGUAGCAUGAACACUUCACAGGAUUCAUGGGAAAUAAUAAACAUCCAAAGGCCAUCAGAGCUAUAAGUUGCACAGUUAUCUUUACUGUGUGCCAACUAAGUCAGUCCAGUCCUUUUGUAAUUUAGAACCUAUGUGGGUAUUUGUAGCCAUAGAAAAAGCAAAGAUAGGCUCUAUAAUUUGGGAAUUAUGGUACCCACGACCUGGGGUUCUAGUGAGGCUUCAGUGAAAGAUAAAGUCAAGCACCCAGAGUGUUCUGUUUCAGGAGAAUGGAGAUUAUUGCAUAAUUAGCUUAAUAUCGUAUCUCUCCCAGGCCUCGGGCCUUCAGUUGGCAACACCUUGUCUGCUUAUCCACUGUGCUACCUUGCUGCACAUUGUUAUCUGGGGUAUAUCAUUGACACUAGGAAAAUAUUUCUUUCAUUCAAUUCAAACACUGAACAAAUUCAAGCAUGUGACCUACACAAGGGAUCUCAGGAGUGAACAAAGUGGUCCAAAGUCCUGUCCUCAUUGA
This 845-nucleotide long non-coding RNA is filed under the name Marmota monax (woodchuck). Lineage: Eukaryota; Metazoa; Chordata; Mammalia; Rodentia; Sciuridae. The record is from RNAcentral.